RNAcentral lists this ribosomal RNA (493 nucleotides) under uncultured bacterium. Its description in RNAcentral is "partial 16S ribosomal RNA". It matches the Rfam family "Bacterial small subunit ribosomal RNA", at positions 29 to 523 of the family's 1533-position model. The record is from RNAcentral.
AUUGAACGCUGGCGGCAUGCUUUACGCAUGCAAGUCGAACGGUAACAGGUUAAGCUGACGAGUGGCGAACGGGUGAGUAAUGCAUCGGAACGUGCCCGAUCGUGGGGGAUAACGCAGCGAAAGCUGCGCUAAUACCGCAUACGAUUUGAGGAUGAAAGCGGGGGACCGUAAGGCCUCGCGCGAUCGGAGCGGCCGAUGUCAGAUUGGGUAGUUGGUGGGGUAAAGGCUCACCAAGCCAACGAUCGGUAGCUGGUCUGAGAGGACGACCAGCCACACUGGGACUGAGACACGGCCCAGACUCCUACGGGAGGCAGCAGUGGGGAAUUUUGGACAAUGGGCGAAAGCCUGAUCCAGCAAUGCCGCGUGCAGGAAGAAGGCCUUCGGGUUGUAAACUGCUUUUGUACGGAGCGAAAAGGUCUCCUCUAAUACAGGGGGCUCAUGACGGUACCGUAAGAAUAAGCACCGGCUAACUACGUGCCAGCCGCCGCCGUAA